AUUAUUUUUUAUGUUCCUUAGGCUGAUAUUUUGGAUGUCAAUCAAAUAUUUAAAGAUUUGGCCAUGAUGAUCCAUGAUCAAGGUGAUCUAAUUGACAGCAUAGAAGCCAAUGUGGAAAGCUCAGAGGUACAUGUAGAGAGAGCCACUGAUCAGUUACAGCGAGCUGCUUACUAUCAGAAAAAAUCUCGCAAGAAGAUCUGUAUCCUGGUGCUUGUCCUGUCCGUGAUUAUUGUCAUCUUGGUAUUUAUUAUCUGGCAAAUUUAUAAAUGAAGUGAUUGCCUCAGAGCCGCCUUCUGCUGAGCUGUUUUCAAGGGCACCUGCUUACUGGAGUCUUUCCAGAACAAACUGAUCACAAGAAGAGAGCAUACACCAGAAUGUCCUAUAAUAAUUUAGUUAGAAAAUAACUACUAACUAGUCCUUUGGAAUUAGUGACCUAUGGAGACAGUAUUUAUCAAUUUAUGCAUACAUUCUAUUGAUUUCUCAAAUUAGGAAUUAAUUUAUGUGGAUUUUGCUUUCUCUUGUAUUCUGAUUGCCCUUCAUCUCCAAGUGUUUACUAAAAAUUCCAUUCUAGAUAUUCUUGUUUUGACAGGUGACACUACAGUCUUGUAAUAUUGCCAUUUUAUGUGUAUACUAGAUUCACCUUUUUACUAGCAACUGAGGUAGAAUUACUUUCUGACAGCCAACACAUUUGUCAGAAACUAUAUAAUAAGCUGGUACUUUUUAUUAUUUAACGUUUCAAUUUGAAUUUCCGAGAAGCCUAUUCUCUAUCUGCUUUGAAAGAUUUUGGCAAUAUAUUUAACUGGAAAGUAAAAAUUGCACAUUUGAUCCCGAUUAAAAGUAUCUAUUUGAGCUGGCCAAUUGUCAAAGUACCUGUUAACGGGGUUUAAAGCUUACUUUAUUAUCUGCUAGUGUCAUCCAUGGCAGUUCAUCUGCACACACACUAAACCGUCUUGUUCACUUUUUUAAGAGAUUAAUUAACAUUAUUAUGCUCUCUGGGGUCCCUCUCCCCCUGUCUGUAUAGAAAGGGAGAAUUAGACAAAGCAUGCUUUUGGAAAGCAAAUAGGAAUUGUUUGGAAUGAUUUAAACUUUUUGUUGUUGUUCACUUGUGGUUCUACAUUCCUGGUGAAUGAUGAAUAUUGCUGUCAAAAGGCUGCCCCUUCCCCCAUAAGGGCUGCUGGGCAUUUGAUGGCAGGAAGAUUUUAAAAGCUAGACUGAAGUUGGUUUAAAAUUUAGUUCUGUGAACCUGGUGAUAAAGUAAAGAAAGGGUUCAUUUUUGUAAAUACUGCCGGUUUGGAAUAGUGAUGUUAGACUUAUCCUAAUUUAUGAACAAGAGAUUAAUCUCCAUGCAUAGUUUUAGACAAAAAAAAAGUUUCAAUAAAAGAUUGCUGUCUUGUAAUAGAAAUGUUGUCCAUUUCCCUUUUUCACACAGGUCUAGAGCAGUUAAAGGGAAUAAAAUUUCUGUAGGCUCUCACAUAAGUGUGAAUUGGGCCAACAAUUUCAGUUCAUCCUUUAAUGAAUUAGAGGACUGGGCUACCCUGGAUAUAUUUAUAUUCAUUUCUUCCACUCCCUUUAAUGUUACUUAAUCUCCUUUUUACCAAACUAAUGUGAAUAGUAGGGAAACAAGGGCCCAAAUGCCUAAGUUUCUUUGUACUCUUGCACCAUUCCACUCCUUAAUACAAAUAAACAUUUUAAAAAAGCUUUUGUAGUAAGUUUUCGUGAGUUAACAUGUGGUAGCUAUUAGGUAAAGUGCUGUCCUGAGAAAAAUUGAGACUGGCAAGAAGACUGGAGGUUAGGUGAUGAUUGGUUUGGGGGUGGAAUAAGGGCAGAUGCUGCCCUUUCCUUGACAAACAGGAUGGAGCUCCUGGGGUGUCACAGGUGGCCCAAGCAGCAGCUUCAGGGCUCGUUCCUUGGUUCUACAAUCAGCUGGACUUGGGUACAUCAUUUGUAACAUUUAAGACAAAAAAAUUCCUGAUUGUGAAAAACUAUUUCAAUUUGGGUUAAAUGAAGCUAUCAUAGUUGUGUUCUAUAAUACUGUGUAAUCCAGUGGUGGUGAUAAUAGUGGUCGUGGGUAGCCAAUCUGACCUUGGCUUAGAAUUCGAAGGGCCUGGAGUUUAUGGUAGUUGCCAAGAGGUUCUGCUAGAUGAUCUGAAUAAACCUGUUCACAGAA
This is a non-coding RNA of Leptonychotes weddellii (Weddell seal), 2167 nucleotides long. The record is from RefSeq and is a predicted model, not a curated record. NCBI's taxonomy places the organism in Eukaryota, Metazoa, Chordata, Mammalia, Carnivora, Phocidae.